RNAcentral lists this long non-coding RNA (790 nucleotides) under Amborella trichopoda. RNAcentral's name for it is "long non-coding RNA (ATRI_LNC001780)". The record is from RNAcentral. Lineage: Eukaryota; Viridiplantae; Streptophyta; Magnoliopsida; Amborellales; Amborellaceae.
CUCAGGAACAUUUUAUAUGGGGCAACAUUUCUAUUAAUAUUGGGAAGGUGUUUCUUGAACUGGUAAAUACCCUCAUUAGUAUCAUUUCCACAAUAAUUAUACCUUAUACAACUUUUGCUAUUCAAAUUCGGCUUAUGACCAUACUUGCAACCUGGAUCACCACUUCUAGAAGAACUUGGAGAAGAUAUUUCUAUAUAAUAAGGCUCCUUUUCUUCCUUUUAUGGUUUUACUAAAUUCAAAUAUUGUUUAAUAUAAUCCUUAAUAGCUUCAGGAACCUUUUUACAAGAAGUAACAUUCCCUUUAAUACCGGCUAGGUGUUUCUUGAAUCGAUUAAUACUCAAUUGGUAUCUCUUUCACAAAAAUUACACCAUAUAUACCUUUUAUUGUUUGGUUUCGGGUUAUAAGUUAUAACCAUACUUCCAACCCGGAUCACCACUUUUAAAAAACCAGAAAUAGAUGAAUCCAAAUGACAAGGCUUUUGUUCAUGCUUGUGUUUUCUCGAACUCGUAUAUUGCGUAAUCUCCUCUUUGAUAGCUUCAAGAACAUUUUUACAAGGGGGAACAUUUCCCCUACUUUCGGCAGAGUGUUUUUGAACCGGUUUAGACCCUUACCCCGUUAGUAUCUUUGUCACAAUAAUUACAUCUUAUACGAUUUUUGUCAUUUGGAUUUGGGUUAUAACCGUAAUUCCAAUCCGGAUCACCACUUCUAGAAGAACCCAAAGAAGACAUUGAAAUAACAAAUAAAAUCUCAAAUUUAAAGAUUUUUUAACUAAUAUUUUUACUCGAUCGUU